CCUCUGUGGCUUAGUGGUAUAGCGAUUGAUUCGUAAAGAUUCGGUCGGGGGUUCAAUUCCCCCCAGGGGCU
This 71-nucleotide transfer RNA is filed under the name Promethearchaeota archaeon. Its description in RNAcentral is "Candidatus Lokiarchaeota archaeon tRNA-Thr". It matches the Rfam family "tRNA". Rfam says of the family: Transfer RNA (tRNA) molecules are approximately 80 nucleotides in length. The record is from RNAcentral. Lineage: Archaea; Promethearchaeati; Promethearchaeota.